GACGAACGCUGGCGGCGUGCUUAACACAUGCAAGUCGAACGGAAAGGCCCCUUUUGGGGUACUCGAGUGGCGAACGGGUGAGUAACACGUGAGUAACCUGCCCUUGACUUCGGGAUAACUUCAGGAAACUGGGGCUAAUACCGGAUAGGAAUCCUUGCUGCAUGGUGGGGGUUGGAAAGCUUCGGCGGUUUUGGAUGGACUCGCGGCUUAUCAGCUUGUUGGUGGGGUAGUGGCUUACCAAGGCUUUGACGGGUAGCCGGCCUGAGAGGGCGACCGGCCACAGUGGGACUGAGAUACGGCCCAGACUCCUACGGGAGGCAGCAGUGGGGAAUAGUGCACAAUGGGCGGAAGCCUGAUGCAGCAACGCCGCGUGCGGGAUGACGGCCUUCGGGUUGUAAACCGCUUUCAGCAGGGGCGAAGCUUGUGGUGACGGUACCUGCAGAAGAAGCACCGGCUAACUACGUG
This 465-nucleotide ribosomal RNA is filed under the name uncultured bacterium. RNAcentral describes it as "partial 16S ribosomal RNA". It matches the Rfam family "Bacterial small subunit ribosomal RNA", at positions 28 to 507 of the family's 1533-position model. The record is from RNAcentral.